UACGUAGGGGGCAAGCGUUGUCCGGAUUUAUUGGGCGUAAAGAGCGUGUAGGCGGCCAGAUAAGUCCGCUGUGAAAUCUCGAGGCUCAACUUCGAGCUGUCGGUGGAAACUGUCUGGCUAGAGUCCGGAAGAGGAGAAUGGAAUUCCUGGUGUAGCGGUGAAAUGCGCAGAUAUCAGGAAGAACACCUAUGGCGAAGGCAGCUCUCUGGGACGGUACUGACGCUGAGACGCGAAAGCGUGGGGAGCGAACAGG
Molecule: ribosomal RNA, 253 nt
Filed under: uncultured bacterium
Lineage: Bacteria
Description: partial 16S ribosomal RNA
Rfam family: Bacterial small subunit ribosomal RNA
Source: RNAcentral